CAAAUCCUAAACCCUAAACCCUAAACCAUAAACCCUAAACCCUAAACUCUUAACCCUAAACCCUUAAACCUAAAUGAUAAGUGUGUAUUUUGCAUGUUUUGAGCAUCCAUUUGUCAUCACUUUAGCAUCAUAUCAUCACUGUUUUAUACCAUUUCUCAUCAUUUGUCAUCACUUUACAUGUUUAGGAUAGAUCUGCAUGCAUGUUGCAUAUUUGUGUUGAUUUCAAGUGAUUUGGAGCUGUUGACGAGCUAUCUGGAAGAGCAACCUGAUCAUGUCAAACCACUCGACCCCGAGGUCGAGUAGAAGACAUCACCACUUCACCUCACCACUCGUCCAC
RNAcentral lists this small RNA (337 nucleotides) under Arabidopsis thaliana (thale cress). RNAcentral's name for it is "ATSL039970". The record is from RNAcentral. Lineage: Eukaryota; Viridiplantae; Streptophyta; Magnoliopsida; Brassicales; Brassicaceae.